Molecule: ribosomal RNA, 777 nt
Filed under: uncultured bacterium
Lineage: Bacteria
Description: bacterial SSU rRNA
Rfam family: Bacterial small subunit ribosomal RNA
Source: RNAcentral
AGCGGAGAUGAGGUGCUUGCACCUUAUCUUAGCGGCGGACGGGUGAGUAAUGCUUAGGAAUCUGCCUAUUAGUGGGGGACAACAUUCCGAAAGGAAUGCUAAUACCGCAUACGUCCUACGGGAGAAAGCAGGGGAUCUUCGGACCUUGCGCUAAUAGAUGAGCCUAAGUCGGAUUAGCUAGUUGGUGGGGUAAAGGCCUACCAAGGCGACGAUCUGUAGCGGGUCUGAGAGGAUGAUCCGCCACACUGGGACUGAGACACGGCCCAGACUCCUACGGGAGGCAGCAGUGGGGAAUAUUGGACAAUGGGGGGAACCCUGAUCCAGCCAUGCCGCGUGUGUGAAGAAGGCCUUAUGGUUGUAAAGCACUUUAAGCGAGGAGGAGGCUACUGAGACUAAUACUCUUGGAUAGUGGACGUUACUCGCAGAAUAAGCACCGGCUAACUCUGUGCCAGCAGCCGCGGUAAUACAGAGGGUGCGAGCGUUAAUCGGAUUUACUGGGCGUAAAGCGUGCGUAGGCGGCUUUUUAAGUCGGAUGUGAAAUCCCCGAGCUUAACUUGGGAAUUGCAUUCGAUACUGGGAAGCUAGAGUAUGGGAGAGGAUGGUAGAAUUCCAGGUGUAGCGGUGAAAUGCGUAGAGAUCUGGAGGAAUACCGACGGCGAAAGCAGCCAUCUGGCCUAAUACUGACGCUGAGUACGAAAGCAUGGGGAGCAACAGGAUUAGAUACCCUGUAGUCCAUGCCGUAAACGAUGUCUACUAGCGUUGGGGCCUUUGAGCUUU